AGCCGCGGUAAUUCCAGCUCCAUUGGCGUAUAUUAAAGUUGUUGCGGUUAAAAAGCUCGUAGUUGGAUCUGUGUAUCGGACAGUUGGUUCGCCGCUCGCGGCGUCAAACUGACUGGUCCGAACGUCCUGCCGGUGGGCUGCCGGUCUUUGUGUAACUCACAGAGGUCGGUGCCCGUAACUUCCCUCCGCGCUGCUCUUAACCGAGUGGUUCGGUGGGCCGGCACGUUUACUUUGAACAAAUUUGAGUGCUCAAAGCAGGCCGAUUGUUGCCUGAAAAUUGUGUGCAUGGAAUAAUGGAACAGGACCUUGGUUCUAUUUUGUUGGCUUUUCUGAACUCGAGGUAAUGAUUAACAGGGACAGACGGGGGCAUUCGUAUUGCGACGUUAGAGGUGAAAUUCUUGGAUCGUCGCAAGACGAACUGAUGCGAAAGCGUUUGCCAAGAAUGUUUUCGCUAAUCAAGAACGAAAGUUAGAGGUUCGAAGGCGAUCAGAUACCGCCCUAGUUCUAACCAUAAACGAUGCCAGCCAGCGAUACGCCGAAGUUCCUCCGAUGACUCGGCGUGUAGCUUCCGGGAAACCAAAGCUUUUGGGUUCCGGGGGAA
Molecule: ribosomal RNA, 601 nt
Filed under: Caenis youngi
Lineage: Eukaryota; Metazoa; Arthropoda; Insecta; Ephemeroptera; Caenidae
Description: SSU rRNA
Rfam family: Eukaryotic small subunit ribosomal RNA
Source: RNAcentral